AGGUCGGCAGUUCCCAAGGCGUCGCUGCCCCGAAAGGGGAGCUAAACCUGCCA
Pseudovibrio sp. FO-BEG1 is the source of this 53-nucleotide non-coding RNA. The record is from Rfam. NCBI's taxonomy places the organism in Bacteria, Pseudomonadati, Pseudomonadota, Alphaproteobacteria, Hyphomicrobiales, Stappiaceae.